Molecule: ribosomal RNA, 253 nt
Filed under: uncultured microorganism
Description: partial 16S ribosomal RNA
Rfam family: Bacterial small subunit ribosomal RNA
Source: RNAcentral
UACGUAGGGUGCGAGCGUUAAUCGGAUUUACUGGGCGUAAAGCGUGCGCAGGCGGUUUGUUAAGACAGGUGUGAAAUCCCUGGGCUCAACCUAGGAAUUGCGCUUGUGACUGGCGGGCUCGAGUACGGUAGAGGGGGGUGGAAUUCCUGGUGUAGCAGUGAAAUGCGUAGAGAUCAGGAGGAACACCGAUGGCGAAGGCAGCCCCCUGGGCCUGUACUGACGCUCAUGCACGAAAGCGUGGGGAGCAAACAGG